Molecule: non-coding RNA, 74 nt
Organism: Ameiurus melas (black bullhead)
Lineage: Eukaryota; Metazoa; Chordata; Actinopteri; Siluriformes; Ictaluridae
Source: the annotation of a GenBank genome assembly
GGCAGGGUGGCUAAGUGGUUAUUGAGUUUGCCUCGCACCUCCAGCGAUGGGGGUUCAAAUCCCUGUCUUUGCCC